This 6200-nucleotide long non-coding RNA is filed under the name Malus domestica (apple). Its description in RNAcentral is "long non-coding RNA (MDOM_LNC006520)". Lineage: Eukaryota; Viridiplantae; Streptophyta; Magnoliopsida; Rosales; Rosaceae. The record is from RNAcentral.
ACAUUACUCUUUUACAAUUGCUAUCUCAAUGGGCACAAUGCUUUAAGUAAACAAGUCAUUCUUCCUCUACGAAAUGUAUGGAGUAAUCAAACCCGAGAUUUCCCACCAUUGCCGGCCACUGCAUUGCGCGAAAUCCAUUAGCAUCCCUACUUCUGUUCAGCACGAACCAACAGAGCCAAGGAACGAGCUCUUUCAAAAUUGCGCAGCGUGGACGUCCACGCAGAGUUGGGAAUUUGGUUCAUGCAGAGAGUCCGACUGCAAUGCCUGGACUCGGUAGUCACUGGUGUGAUAGAAGAAGCAACAAGGUUCAUUUUGUUAGUGUUUUGGAAGGUUUAUAUUUUGUAGAAAUGUUCUUGACAGGGUUUUUGGUUAUGGAAAAACACAGAAAUGUAAGAAGGGAUUUCGGCUAUUGCAGUCUGCCCACUUAGCAGCUCAUAGCAAACAUAUAUAUAUGCUGUCAGUAGGGUUUUGGUAUACAAGGUCAAAUCUUAUCUCCAUUGGAGCUAGUUGACAAAAACCACAACCACCAGAUAGUACUAAGCUAAUCUAAGCCCUUCAAUGGAGCUUUUAAUCUAAGCCUUACACUUGUAAAAAAACAUUACUUAAAAAACAACUAGCCGUUAGCAUGUAGCUGCUUCAUUUCUUCGAUCAAACUGGAAGUGUUUAGCAUCCAACACUCCCCUCUAAACUCUUCCUGGUGUUGACUCCAAGCAGGCUUCGAAGGUAUGUGAACCUCUCUUUUGGUAAUGCCUUUGUAAAAAUGUCUGCCAUCUGAUCUUCAGUUCUGCAAUACAUUAAUUCAAUGACAUUUUCUUGUAGUGCACCUCUGAUAAAGUGAUACUUCCUCUUUAUGUGCCUUGUUUUCUGAUGAAAAACUGGAUUUCUUGUCAUUGCUAUAGCUGAGGUAUUAUCACACAUUAGCUUAGUUGGCUAAACUUGCAUUUCUCCAAAAUAUUUUAGAACAAAUCUCAGCCAAAUUGCUUGAGAUGUUGCUUCUGCAGCACUCACAUACUCAGCUUCGGCUGUUGAUAGUGCAACACUUUGUUGCUUGACCGAGGCCCACGAGAACACACCAGAGCCAAAUGUAAAAGCAUAUCCCGAUGUGCUUUUCAUAUCAUCUUCACUACCUCCCCAGUCACUAUCACAGAAACCAACCAGAAUAGCUGACUGUCCUUUUUCAUAUUUGAUUCCAAAAUCAAUUAUUCCUUGCACAUACCUGAGUACCCUUUUUGCAGUUCCCAAGUGUAUUUUGGUAGGACUAUGCAUGAAUCUUGAGAGCAGGCUUGCAGCAUACAUAAUGUAUGGCCUUGUUGCUGUGAGGUAUAACAGGCUGCCAACAAUUUUCCUGUAGAGAUUUGCAUCCACUAACUCACUUCCAUCCUCACUCUUGAGCUUCUCAUUUGCAAUUAAGGGAGUGCUUACUGGUGUGCAUCCCUUGAGUCCAAAUUUGUCUAACAAUGUCUGUGCAUAUUUCAUUUGAUGAAUGAAAAUGCAAUCUGAUUUUUGAAUCACCCCCAUUCCAAGAAAGUGGUGAAGUAACCCCAAAUCUGUCAUCUCAUAUUUUUUUCAUCAUUUCAUUUCUAAAUUCAUCCACCAUUUUCUUACUGUUUCCAGUAAAAACCACAUCAUCCACAUAGAUGGACACGAUGAGAGUUUCUGACUUGUUCUCAACCUUGGUAUAGAGUGUUGCUUCACUGAGGCUUUUCUUGAAUCCACACUUAGUGAGAUGUGCAUCAAUCUCACUAUACCAGGCUCUUGGUGCUUGCUUUAGGCCAUAAAGUGCCUUAUUUAAUCUAUACACUUUACUUUCGGACCCUUUGACUUCAAAACCUUGUGGCUGGUCCACAUAGACCUCUUCCUCUAGUACACCAUUCAAGAAAGCAGACUUGACAUCUAACUGAUAUAGCUGCCAACCCUUCUGUGCAGCUAAUGCAAUUAAUGUCCUGAUUGUAUCUAGUCUAGCCACAGGUGCAAAUGUUUCAUUAAAGUCAAUUCCAGGCUUUUGAGAGUAGCCUUUAGCCACUAAUCUAGCAUUGUUCUUCUGUACUGAUCCAUCCAAGUUCAACUUGGUUUUAUAGACCCACUUCACACCUAUCACAGGUUUAUCACUUGGUCUGUCUACCAGAGUCCAAGUUUCAUUUUUCUCUAUCAUUGAGAUUUCAUCUCUCAUUGCCAUCUGCCAUGACUUGUCAUUUUCAGCCUCUUCAAAGGUCUCUGGUUCAAUAACACAGAAAUUGCAUGCUGCAUAGAUUUCUUCUAGGCUUCUCAUUCUAAUUAGUGUUGAUCCUGAGCUUGAGUUUGAACUCGAGCUUUGUUGCCCUCUCUGUUGAGAUGUUGAACUUGCACUUGAGUUUUGUGUACUCCGAGGGGUUUGAACUGGUGAGAUAUAAGGAAUCUGCAAGCUUUCUUCUUCAGAUUCAUAAAUUUCACCAAUUUCAGUUUGUGCAGUUCUUUGCUCAGGGACAUCAACUUGCAGUGAUACUUUGUCUUGUUCUUUUGCAUUUGUCUCCCAAUUCCACAAUGAUUCCUCAUCAAAAAUUACAUCUCUUGAGAGAUUGAUCUUCUUGGUUCUCAAAUUAUACAGCCUAUAACCUUUUUCAUUUGUGCCAUACCCAACAAAAAUGCACUUAUUGCUGGAUUCUUGUAACUUGUGUCUGAGUUGUGAUGGCACCAGUGCAUAACACACAUAGCCAAAAACCUUUAAGUGCUUGACUCCAGGCUUUCUUCCACUGAACACUUCGAAUGGAGUUUGUUUCUCCAAAGCUUUGGUAGGACAUCUGUUCAAGAGAUACACAGCAGUAUUCACAGCUUCUCCCCAAAAUGAAUAAGGUAUUUUCUUCUCAUGUAGCAUGGAUUUUGCCAUCUCCAAUAUAGUCCUGUUCUUUCUCUCUGCAGUGCCAUUUUGUUGAGGAGUGUAAGCUACUGUGAGUUGCCUUUCUAAACCCAAAUCUUCACAGAAAGCUUUGAAUUCCAGUGAGGUAUACUCACCUCCCUUAUCACUCCUUAUCUUCUUGAUUUGAUGCCCACUUUGUAACUCCACCAUUGCUUUAAACUUCCUGAAUAUAUUGAAGACUUCUGAUUUGAACCUCAUAAAAUAUACCCAACACGUUCUUGAGUAGUCAUCUAUGAAAGUCAAGAAGUACUUAUUCCCACUGAUGGAUGCAUUUUUCAUUGGACCACACACAUCAGUGUGAAUUAGUUCUAGUGGUUUCUCAGCCCUCCAAGCCUUUCCAGUUUCAAACUUGUCCCUGUGUUGUUUCCCAAAUGCACAGCCUUCACAAACCUCCUUCAUUUCAUCCAUUUGAGGCAAACCUUGCACCAUAUCAUGUUUUUGCAGAUUUUUUAGACUUUGCACAUUCAAGUGCCCAAACCUUUUGUGCCAUAGUCUCUCUGACUCAAUUUUGCCUGCCUUCCUUGCCACUUCUUCCAAGCAUUUAAGCAACAAUGGAAAGCUUCUAUUUUUCAUUUGAACUUUCACAACCAGAUUCAAUAGAGUUCUAUCAUCAUAUACUUCAGCAAUGGUAUCUCCAAACAACAAGAAAUAGCCAUGUUCCAUCAUCUGUCCAACACUUAAAAGGUUUUCCUCCAGACCAGGUACCAACAUGACUUUUUCAAUGUGUCUUCUUCCCUUCUUGGUUUCUAUUAUGAGAGUACCUCUGCCAGUUGCUUUCACAAUAUCGCCAUUUCCCAUCUUAACCUUUCCAGUGAAUGUAGUAUCAAUAUUAGUCAAUAGAGACUCAUGAGCAGUCAUAUGAUUACUGCACCCACUGUCUAUAUACCACACUUCACUGUCUUUUACAACAUUGGCACUAAAAGCACAAAAGACAUUGUUUUCUUCUUGUUCUUGUUUUGCAAUGUUCACUUGCUGAGUGGUGUUUAAUCUACAAUCCUUCUGCAAAUGGCCAAAUCUAUUGCAUUUGUGACAUUUUGGCUUUCCUUUAAACCAACAUUCACCAAAAUGGGCUUUAUCACAGUAUCUGCACAAUGGUUUGGUUUUUCCACCCCCAUUGUUGCUUCCACUGUUGUAUUUGUUCUCUCCACUUGGUCUUCCUUCCCACUUCUUAUUUUUCCCUUUCCAAUCUCUCAUUGGUCUGUUUUGAUGCUGAUUAGAGUGAUUUGAUGACCCUAUGUUUAGUGACUGGAAGGCUUUCUCAGUUGCACCAUCAGAAUGCCUUUCGAGCCUUUGAUCAAAAGCUCUCAAGGAAGCCAUUACAUCUUGAACACUGAGUGUAUCAGUAUCCUUAGUUUCUUCUAUCACACUCACAAUAGAGUCUUAAGGCUUAGUCAAACUAAUUAGAAGCUUUUGCACUAUUCUUUCAUUAGGCAGUUCUUCUCCAUAAGUUUUCAUUUGAGUCACAACAUCAAACAGCCUAGAAAAAUAGUCUUUAAGUGGCUCAUCUUCUUUCAUGCAUGUAUAUUCAAAAUCACGUCUAAGAGACUGGAGUUUUACUUUCCGUACCUUCACAUCUCCUAUGUAUUCUUGUUGCAGAGUAUCCCAGGCAGCUUUGGCAGUUUCUUCAUUUGCUAUCCUUGGGAAUAUGACAUCGGAGAUAGCACCUUGAAUGAUUCCUAACGCUUUAGCAUCAUUCAUCCUGUUCUCCUUCAAUGUAGAUAUCUGCUUCUCUGUGAGAUCCUCUUCUAGAGCAUCUACCUCCAUUUCUGGUAACUCAUAUCCAUUUUGAACCAUUUCCCAGAGAUCAUACGACUUGAAGAUGGUUGUCAUCCGGAUCCUCCAAUAGUCGUAGUUUUCUCCAUCAAAGACUGGAGCUUUAAGUUCUCCUCCACCAGCUCCUUUCAUCUUUAACUUAUAUUGACAGUUAGGGUUUCAGCUUUUACCUGAACAACCCUCGAAAUAGGUUCCACAAUGCCCAGAUUUCAGUGAUCAAGAACAAAGCUCUGAUACCAUGUUAGUGUUUUGGAAGGUUUAUAUUUUGUAGAAAUGUUCUUGACAGGGUUUUUGGUUAUGGAAAAACACAGAAAUGUAAGAAGGGAUUUCGGCUAUUGCAGUCUGCCCACUUAGCAGCUCAUAGCAAAUAUAUAUAUAUGUUGUCAGUAGGGUUGUGGUAUACAAGGUCAAAUCUUAUCUCCAUUAGAGCUAGUUGACAAAAACCACAACCACCAGAUAGUACUAAGCUAAUCUAAGCCCUUCACUGGAGCUUUUAAUCUAAGCCUUACACUUGUAAAAAAACAUUACUUAAAAAACAACUAGCCGUUACAAAAACUAGCCGUUAGCAUGUAGCUGCUUCAUUUCUUCGAUCAAACUGGAAGUGUUUAGCAUCCAACACAUUUGAUGAUGGCUAUCUUCUCACUGUUAGGGCUGGAGACACUAAUGUUGAGAAGGUUCAUUAGAACCUGUACGUCACAUCCGCCUCUUGAUCUAGCCCGUAAAUCCUUGGAGAAGGCUACCGAAGACAAGGCUUAACCUGCACCCAAAAUCCCAGCGAGAUUUGGGCGAGAGAUUUCCAUCCGAGUCGAAGCUUGCAGCUAUUCGAAAGGAAGCACAAAUACGAGGCUUCCAUUUCAUUUCUCGGCCUUAAAUCGAGGAUGCCGAUAAGACAAUGCCUCGAUUUAUAAGUUCUAUGCUCCCUCCGGUCCAGAAUCGGCAUGAACCUGGUUAAUCAAAAGAAACAAAAAAGCAUCAGCACUGGAUUAUCUCAAAUGACUGACCUGAACAAAGAAAACUAAAUCCAUAAAUUAACAACAGCCCUAAUCAUAACCAACUGAUUAGCCUCUCUCGAUCUCUCAUAUAAUAAUAUUAAUCUCUAAAACCCACCACCUAAUAUAUAAAAACUUAAAAAAAGAUGGAAUCUCAAAUAACCCACCAACAAAAAAUACAUACGCACCGAUUCGAUCCAGAAUAAAAACCAAUCUUCAGUUAUAUAUUUGUAAAGAUUCUAACCAUGAUCCAAUGAUUCAGAUUCAGAUACCAGAACACUAACUAAACCAACGGAAAUGCAUGAAUCAAACCCUAAAUUUAGGAAAAUUACCUCUGGCGAAUAACUCUGGUAAAUCAUAGAUUCGAUCGAUUGUUGACAUGACAGCCAUCACCGGGCUCUCGUCAUCAUCAGGAUCAUCAUCGUCGAAGUCGCCAUCUCCCCUUUGGGCUUCGGCAGCCAUGUCAGACAACUCUCCACCAAACACGCCGUAACUGCAGCUAUCUAUGUCGUGUUUGUUUGUUUUUCCACACAUGACAAAGACAG